GUUAAGCGACUAAGCGUACACGGUGGAUGCCCUGGCAGUCAGAGGCGAUGAAGGGCGUGCUAAUCUGCGAUAAGCGCCGGUAAGGUGAUAUGAACCGUUAUAACCGGCGAUACCCGAAUGGGGAAACCCAGUGUGAUUCGUCACACUAUCAUUAACUGAAUCCAUAGGUUAAUGAGGCGAACCGGGGGAACUGAAACAUCUAAGUACCCCGAGGAAAAGAAAUCAACCGAGAUUCCCCCAGUAGCGGCGAGCGAACGGGGAGGAGCCCAGAGCCUGAAUCAGCAUGUGUGUUAGUGGAAGCGUCUGGAAAGGCGCGCGAUACAGGGUGACAGCCCCGUACACAAAAGCGCAUGUGCUGUGAGCUCGAUGAGUAGGGCGGGACACGUGGUAUCCUGUCUGAAUAUGGGGGGACCAUCCUCCAAGGCUAAAUACUCCUGACUGACCGAUAGUGAACCAGUACCGUGAGGGAAAGGCGAAAAGAACCCCGGCGAGGGGAGUGAAAAAGAACCUGAAACCGUGUACGUACAAGCAGUGGGAGCCCCACCACUAAGCCAGUGGUGAACUCCACAUACGCAUCCUUUGCUGAGGAUACGGUUAACGGAGCGAAAGCGACGUUCAACCGCAAAAGAAGCAGAGGGGGCUUAGUGGUGGGGUGACUGCGUACCUUUUGUAUAAUGGGUCAGCGACUUAUAUUCUGUAGCAAGGUUAACCGUAUAGGGGAGCCGGAGGGAAACCGAGUC
RNAcentral lists this ribosomal RNA (740 nucleotides) under Salmonella enterica subsp. enterica. Its description in RNAcentral is "partial 23S ribosomal RNA". It matches the Rfam family "Bacterial large subunit ribosomal RNA", at positions 1 to 683 of the family's 2925-position model. Lineage: Bacteria; Pseudomonadati; Pseudomonadota; Gammaproteobacteria; Enterobacterales; Enterobacteriaceae. The record is from RNAcentral.